GCCUCUUUUCUACGUCUCUGGCUGACUCCUGAAUCUCCGCCCACUCUCUGCUUGAUCCCUGCCAAGUGAAAGAGAUCUUUGGUUUUGCCUUUGCUGACUGCUGAUCUGAUCGUCUCAAGUCUGGUAAGUAAAGGUUUGUCUGAGGUGCAGUGCUGGGAAAUGUUUCUUAUUAUAGGAGAUUCAGUUUAGUGCAGUGAGUCAGCACAGCUCUUGGCAAUCAUCAAAUAAUAGAAAAGUCUAUGUAAACAUUUCCAGACUUACAGAUCUCUGUUAUCAUCAUACUACAUUUUUAAUUAGGCCCUAAUAUCGGCCAUACUAAGUUUAUUGUAGAUUUAGCGGGGUGUGUAUUAAACAUGCCCCAUAUUUGACUGAAAUAUGUAGAAACUGCUGUAUAGGAGUCAUCUGUCUCCAAAUUUUUCAUUUUGCCAAAAGUCAUACUGAGUAAAUUAUUUUUUACUUUUGUGUUAACGGCUCCCCAGACAUUAUGAUAUACUGUUGUACCAGGUAAGUACACACAGAAACGGGAAUUUGAGACCUUUGGGCAUUUAGAAACAUGUGAUGUGUCAUAAGUUUGAGUUGAGUGCAUGUGAAGUGUUUAAAGCAGGUGGUCUGAAACUGUCUGCUCUAACUUCAUUGUGUGGGUUUAGCUUGACCAUAUAAUGUUUACAGUAAGUUACUGUAGCACCACAUCUUGGUUUACAGACUCUGUUUGUUUUUAUUGUGUUAAUAGAAUGCAAAAAUGUCCUCAGAAAUGUUCAACCACCAUAUGUUAAACAUUUUCAUUCAGUUGAAUCUAAUAAUGUACUGUACAACUCUUCAGUGUGUAAUGAUAUAUAUGUUCUGUAUUUUUCGGACUGUAAGGCGCACUAAAUUCUAAGGCACAUUAAGUCAAACAAAACAGAUAAGCCAAACUUUAUUCAACUCAUUUACAAUAACUCUCAAAAUUGUUCAGUUGUAAGACAUAAAAUACAGAAUACACUCACUUUUCAGGAUUUGUGGAUUGAUGAAUGUGGAUUGAUCAGUUUGAAAUCUGCUUCAUAAGCAUGGCUCUCAACAGGUGCCAGGCCCUUAUACACACACCAUAUUACGUUGGAGCACAGUACGAAUUACUCUACGAGGGUGGUGACUAUGGUAGCCAUGCUCCGACAAUACAUCAAGUGGUGCUGCUUUGUAGCUUACCAAAGUCAUACUAAAACAUUUGACAGAUUUUUGAGUGCCGUGUACCACAUAGAAUUGGUUUGAAGUCAGUAAGCCUCAACCAUAUAUAAGGUGCACUGUCUAUUUUUGAGAAAAUUAAAGGCUUUUAAAUGUGCCUUAUAGUCUGAAAAAUAAGGUAAAGCCAGGUUUAUUGCAAGUGUGUCUAAUUCCACUUUCUUUCUGUCUUACAGGUGACCUGCUGCAGAAAACCCUCUCCCUCUAUCAUUAACAAGCAAUUCAGUCUGUCCUAUCACUCUCC
This is a long non-coding RNA of Oreochromis aureus, 1456 nucleotides long. NCBI's taxonomy places the organism in Eukaryota, Metazoa, Chordata, Actinopteri, Cichliformes, Cichlidae. The record is from Ensembl.